AGAUGGAGUCUUGCUAUGUUGCCCAGGCUGGAGUUCACUGGCUAUUCACAGGUGCAAUUAUAGGGCACGACAGCCUUGAACUCCUGGCCUCAAGUGAUCCUCUUGCCUCAGUCUCUGGAGUCUCCAAAACAGGGGAAGGAUGGAAGAAAUAAAAUACAUAAUGGAAUGGUGGGAAGACUCCGGAUCAGGAAACAUGAAUUUAAGUCUCCAUUUAUCUAAGUUAUUUGCUCAGAAAUCCCUCAAUGUGCAAGCUGGACUAAAGUGGGAAGAAAAAUCAUGGAGUAUCCAUUUAGGAGUAUAUUCCAACAAUCAAGAUGAGAAGCAGCGAGAGCCUGGAUAACUUGUGGAUACAUAAGGCUGACUUAACAGAAGAGAGGAACGGACUGAGGCAAAUGAGGGUCAUGCUGGAAGCCAUGUGAGUCCUGGGGGUGGAAAAGCUAGCUUA
This 445-nucleotide long non-coding RNA is filed under the name Homo sapiens (human). RNAcentral's name for it is "HSALNT0321000". Lineage: Eukaryota; Metazoa; Chordata; Mammalia; Primates; Hominidae. The record is from RNAcentral.